GCGAUAUUAUGCUUGAUUUGCGAUGUUUUGUAGUAUUUUGGAGAAAGUGAAGAAUGGAUUUGAAGAUAAAGGUCGUAGACUCAAGAAAAGAGAAGAAAAUUGAAGAUUUGAAGAGUUAACGCACCGCCCGGCGGUAACUUACACCGUCGGGCGGUCUAGGGUGAGGAGUAGACACCUGGCGUUGGCGCUGGGCAGUUUUGAGGGAAACCGUCGGGCGAUAGACCCC
Molecule: long non-coding RNA, 226 nt
Filed under: Vigna radiata
Lineage: Eukaryota; Viridiplantae; Streptophyta; Magnoliopsida; Fabales; Fabaceae
Description: long non-coding RNA (VRAD_LNC010097)
Source: RNAcentral